This 260-nucleotide ribosomal RNA is filed under the name uncultured Staphylococcus sp. RNAcentral describes it as "partial 16S ribosomal RNA". It matches the Rfam family "Bacterial small subunit ribosomal RNA", at positions 524 to 783 of the family's 1533-position model. Lineage: Bacteria; Bacillati; Bacillota; Bacilli; Caryophanales; Staphylococcaceae. The record is from RNAcentral.
UACGUAGGUGGCAAGCGUUAUCCGGAAUUAUUGGGCGUAAGGCGCGCGUAGGCGGUUUUUUAAGUCUGAUGUGAAAGCCCACGGCUCAACCGUGGAGGGUCAUUGGAAACUGGAAAACUUGGGUGCAGAAGAGGAAAGUGGAAUUCCAUGUGUAGCGGUGAAAUGCGCAGAGAUAUGGAGGAACACCAGUGGCGAAGGCGACUUUCUGGUCUGUAACUGACGCUGAUGUGCGAAAGCGUGGGGAUCAAACAGGAUUAGAU